Molecule: ribosomal RNA, 465 nt
Filed under: Vreelandella stevensii
Lineage: Bacteria; Pseudomonadati; Pseudomonadota; Gammaproteobacteria; Oceanospirillales; Halomonadaceae
Description: partial 16S ribosomal RNA
Rfam family: Bacterial small subunit ribosomal RNA
Source: RNAcentral
CCUACGGGCGGCAGCAGUGGGGAAUAUUGGACAAUGGGGGGAACCCUGAUCCAGCCAUGCCGAGUGUGUGAAGAAGGCCCUCGGGUUGUAAAGCACUUUCAGUGAGGAAGAACGCCUGGUGGUUAAUACCCAUCAGGAAAGACAUCACUCACAGAAGAAGCACCGGCUAACUCCGUGCCAGCAGCCGCGGUAAUACGGAGGGUGCGAGCGUUAAUCGGAAUUACUGGGCGUAAAGCGCGCGUAGGUGGCUUGAUAAGCCGGUUGUGAAAGCCCCGGGCUCAACCUGGGAACGGCAUCCGGAACUGUCAAGCUAGAGUGCAGGAGAGGAAGGUAGAAUUCCCGGUGUAGCGGUGAAAUGCGUAGAGAUCGGGAGGAAUACCAGUGGCGAAGGCGGCCUUCUGGACUGACACUGACACUGAGGUGCGAAAGCGUGGGUAGCAAACAGGAUUAGAUACCCCAGUAGUC